UACGAGGGGGGCAAGCGUUGUUCGGAAUUAUUGGGCGUAAAGGGCGCGUAGGCGGCGCCACAAGUCACUUGUGAAAACUCUGGGCUCAACUCAGAGCCUGCAAGCGAUACUGUGGUGCUGGAGUAUGGGAGAGGUGCGUGGAAUUCGCGGUGUAGCGGUGAAAUGCGUAGAUAUCGGGAGGAACACCUGUGGCGAAAGCGGGGCACUGGACAAUAACUGACGCUGAGGCGCGAAAGCUAGGGGAGCAAACAGG
This 253-nucleotide ribosomal RNA is filed under the name uncultured bacterium. RNAcentral's name for it is "partial 16S ribosomal RNA". It matches the Rfam family "Bacterial small subunit ribosomal RNA", at positions 524 to 776 of the family's 1533-position model. The record is from RNAcentral.